Molecule: non-coding RNA, 812 nt
Organism: Monodelphis domestica (gray short-tailed opossum)
Lineage: Eukaryota; Metazoa; Chordata; Mammalia; Didelphimorphia; Didelphidae
Source: RefSeq, a predicted model, not a curated record
GGAGGGUGGGGCUGUGCUGCAGUGAAUAGCAUGUUCUAUAAGACCGGGAGGCCAGGCCGCACCCAGAGAGGGGCUGCUGGCAGCUGGGAGCAGAGGGGGCUGGCUCACGAGCCCGGCCCUGGCUGAGGGAAGGGAGAGGAAAACAAGGAAGCCUGAACGGCUCUGGGGACCAGGAGAGAUGCUGUCCGCAAUGCAUUGAGAGCAUUCGAGUUUACCUUGUUAAAAUUGCUUGUCUGUUUCAUUCUGGGUCUCCGGGAGCGCGGGCGCCCUGUAUGUCUAAGGAAGCAGGUGGGGAAGAGGAGCCCUGAGUCCUUGCCAUCAGCCUGGUGUCAGAGGCAGGUAGUAAUGGAAGAGAUGGUUUCAGAAAAAUCUAUGAAGUCAUAUCAUAUGAUGCAAAGUGAAGUCAGCAGAACCAGCGCCACAACUUAUGGAGUAACAACAAUAUUGGGACACUAAUGAAUUAUGAAAUACUUAAGCUACUCUGAUCAAUACUAUAAGCAUCUGUGACACUUCCAAAGGAUUCAUGAUGAGACAUGUCACUGGAUACAGGAACUGACAAGGAUUUGGAACUCCUGCUCUGUGGUAGACAUAAGGAACCUAUACCCUGGCUACUCCUGAAUGUAAAGCAGAAUCAGAUGAAAAUGUAAUUGGGGAGUGUUUAAUAAAAUAAGUGAAAAUAAAAUACACUAAAAAUACAACAGAGCAGUUUGACUAGUUGCUCUUUAAGCUUCCUUCCAGCUUCAAAUCUAUGAGUUUCUUUAUCCCUGGGACACAUUUUGCACCUUCAGCCUCAGUGCCCAACUGGUUUUCUA